Molecule: ribosomal RNA, 492 nt
Filed under: uncultured bacterium
Lineage: Bacteria
Description: partial 16S ribosomal RNA
Rfam family: Bacterial small subunit ribosomal RNA
Source: RNAcentral
AGUGAACGCUGGCGGUAGGCCUAACACAUGCAAGUCGAACGGCAGCACAGUAAGAGCUUGCUCUUACGGGUGGCGAGUGGCGGACGGGUGAGGAAUACAUCGGAAUCUACUUUUUCGUGGGGGAUAACGUAGGGAAACUUACGCUAAUACCGCAUACGACCUACGGGUGAAAGCAGGGGAUCUUCGGACCUUGCGCGAUUGAAUGAGCCGAUGUCGGAUUAGCUAGUUGGCGGGGUAAAGGCCCACCAAGGCGACGAUCCGUAGCUGGUCUGAGAGGAUGAUCAGCCACACUGGAACUGAGACACGGUCCAGACUCCUACGGGGGGCAGCAGUGUGGAAUAUUGGACAAUGGGCGCAAGCCUGAUCCAGCCAUACUGCGUGGGUGAAGAAGGCCUUCGGGUUGUAAAGCCCUUUUGUUGGGAAAGAAAAGCAGCAGGUUAAUACCCCGCUGUUCUGACGGUACCCAAAGAAUAAGCACCGGCUAACUUCGUG